AGAUUGAACGCUGGCGGAAUGCCUUACACAUGCAAGUCGAACGGCAGCACGGGAGCAAUCCUGGUGGCGAGUGGCGAACGGGUGAGUAAUACAUCGGAACGUGCCCAAUCGUGGGGGAUAACGUAGCGAAAGCUACGCUAAUACCGCAUACGAUCUACGGAUGAAAGCGGGGGAUCGCAAGACCUCGCGCGAAUGGAGCGGCCGAUGGCAGAUUAGGUAGUUGGUGGGGUAAAGGCUCACCAAGCCUUCGAUCUGUAGCUGGUCUGAGAGGACGACCAGCCACACUGGGACUGAGACACGGCCCAGACUCCGUACGGGAGGCAGCAGGUGGGAAUUUGGACAAUGGGCGCAAGCCUGAUCCAGCCAUUCCGCGUGCGAGGAU
This 382-nucleotide ribosomal RNA is filed under the name uncultured soil bacterium. Its description in RNAcentral is "bacterial SSU rRNA". It matches the Rfam family "Bacterial small subunit ribosomal RNA", at positions 26 to 410 of the family's 1533-position model. The record is from RNAcentral.